RNAcentral lists this ribosomal RNA (455 nucleotides) under uncultured bacterium. Its description in RNAcentral is "bacterial SSU rRNA". It matches the Rfam family "Bacterial small subunit ribosomal RNA", at positions 340 to 786 of the family's 1533-position model. The record is from RNAcentral.
UACGGAAGGCAGCAGUGGGGAAUAUUGCACAAUGGGCGAAAGCCUGAUGCAGCUAUGCCGCGUGUAUGAAGAAGGCCUUAGGGUUGUAAAGUACUUUCAUCGGGGAGGAAAAACAAAACUAAUAAUUUUAUUUCUUGACGUUACCCGAAAAAGAAGCACCGGCUAACUCCGUGCCAGCAGCCGCGGUAAUACGGAGGGUGCUAGCGUUAAUCAGAAUUACUGGGCGUAAAGAGCACGUAGGUGGUUUUUUUAAGUCAGAUGUGAAAUCCCUGGGCUUAACCUAGGAACUGCAUUUUGAAACUGAAAUACUAGAGUAGCGUAGAGGGAGGUAGAAUUCUAGGUGUAGCGGUGAAAUGCGUAGAUAUCUGGAGGAAUACCUGUGGCGAAAGCGGCCUCCUAAACGAAUACUGACACUGAGGUGCGAAAGCGUGGGGAGCAAACAGGGAUUAGAUACC